UUAGUUUAACUUAGGCUUGAAUCCGUGGAAAUUUGAUGAUUUUAAUGUUUAUGAUAGUGUUUUUAUGUUACAAGCAAGUUUGAAUGAAGUAAUAAGAUGUAUCUGUGCAUUUGGUUGGUGUCCCGAGGGCUUCGGGGUGAUGUCGGAUGAUGAAACGAGAAUUUUUGAAGUUGCAACAGGUCUGUUGCAUGAAGCUCCUGAUAUUUCCGCAAAAGCGAAAGAAGCACCGCAAAAGCGGUAAGCGAUCGGAGAAGCGGUCAGGGAGUGCAUGAGGGGAUCAUAGAAGCUGUCAUCGGAUCGCGGAAGCAAGGACCGCAAAAGCGGUCUAAGACCACAGAAGCAGCCUAGUUGACUUAAAGAAAAACCGUGGAAGCGAUUUAUUGGCUGCAGAAGCGACAACCACAGAAGCGGUCAGGGUG
RNAcentral lists this long non-coding RNA (419 nucleotides) under Nicotiana benthamiana. RNAcentral's name for it is "long non-coding RNA (NBEN_LNC032118)". Lineage: Eukaryota; Viridiplantae; Streptophyta; Magnoliopsida; Solanales; Solanaceae. The record is from RNAcentral.